UACGGGGGGGGCAAGCGUUGUUCGGAAUUACUGGGCGUAAAGGGCUCGUAGGCGGCCAACUAAGUCAGACGUGAAAUCCCCGGGCUCAACCUGGGAACUGCAUCCGAGACUGCAUUGCUAGAGUAUGGGAGAGGGAAGCGGAAUUUCUGGUGUAGCAGUGAAAUGCGUAGAUAUCAGAAGGAACAUCAGUGGCGAAGGCGGCUUCCUGGACCAAUACUGACGAUCAGGUGCGAAAGCGUGGGGAGCAAACAGG
Molecule: ribosomal RNA, 253 nt
Filed under: uncultured bacterium
Lineage: Bacteria
Description: partial 16S ribosomal RNA
Rfam family: Bacterial small subunit ribosomal RNA
Source: RNAcentral